GAUGAACGCUGGCGGCGUGCCUAAUACAUGCAAGUAGAACGCUGAAGGAAGGAGCUUGCUCUUUCCGGAUGAGUUGCGAACGGGUGAGUAACGCGUAGGUAACCUGCCUGGUAGCGGGGGAUAACUAUUGGAAACGAUAGCUAAUACCGCAUAACAGUAGAUGUUGCAUGAUAUCUACUUAAAAGGUGCAAUUGCACCACUACCAGAUGCACCUGCGUUGGAUUAGCUAGUUGGUGAGGUAACGGCUCACCAAGGCGACGAUACAUAGCCGACCUGAGAGGGUGAUCGGCCACACUGGGACUGAGACACGGCCCAGACUCCUACGGGAGGCAGCAGUAGGGAAUCUUCGGCAAUGGACGGAAGUCUGACCGAGCAACGCCGCGUGAGUGAAGAAGGUUUUCGGAUCGUAAAGCUCUGUUGUAAGAGAAGAACGAGUGUGAGAGUGGAAAGUUCACACUGUGACGGUAUCUGACCAGAAAGGGACGGCUAACUACGUG
Molecule: ribosomal RNA, 497 nt
Filed under: uncultured bacterium
Lineage: Bacteria
Description: partial 16S ribosomal RNA
Rfam family: Bacterial small subunit ribosomal RNA
Source: RNAcentral